This is a long non-coding RNA of Myotis myotis, 1542 nucleotides long. RefSeq lists it as uncharacterized. Lineage: Eukaryota; Metazoa; Chordata; Mammalia; Chiroptera; Vespertilionidae. The record is from RefSeq and is a predicted model, not a curated record. The transcript has 3 exons.
AUCCUGCCGGUAUCCAUGUCUGUUACUGUGUGGGUGUAGAGUGCACACACGAGUGUGUGAAUGGCAUGUGGGCUCUGCAGGCUUUUGCCUGUGUGUAAAUCCUUUGUGCACCUGUGAGUGUGUACACAUGAGAGCGCCUGUGAUAGUGGAAAGGCACAUGCUUCUGGGGGUACCGGGAGGAGCCUGAGGGCUCUGCUAAGUAGCAGCUUAUCUGCACCUGGGGACACCAGUGAGCAGGGAAUAGCAUGAAGACAACUGGCUGUGUGUGUGAAGGGGUGAAGGGCUGUGAGUGUGUGCAUGGCGCUCUCCCUGCCAUGACAGGCUCAUGUGUACACAUGUUUUCACUGUAGUGUGGGGGGUAGGAGACCCCCAGGAGGGUGACCAUUUGGAUCUGCAAUGCCAUGGUCACAUGCGAGUAGCACAGAGGGCCUGGGGGAAGCUGUUUUUGUGUACGUGUGGAGACGAAGUCUUUCUAGGCCAGGGGUGGGGCGGGGCUGAAAGUGGAAGUAGUUGGUGAUUUAUAAGCUUUUAAAGAAAUGCCUCAGCCCCCAGUUGGGCCCCAGACACAGUGAGUGCCAUGCAUUCUUCAGGUCUGACAUCAGCCAGACACCUGAAGCCACAGCAACGAGAGGAGGCUGCCUCCCUCACCUGCCCACCCACCGGAGGCCGAGGCCAGUGGCGAGCACGCACACCUCUUGCCCUGAAGCUCCUGCUGGGUGCAGGGGCACACUGCCCAAUGGAUGCCCCCGUCCAGCCACAGACCCCUCCCCAGCCACCGAGGCCACGUGCCAGAGGCAGUGGAGCAGCUGUCUCUGCCUUGGUGGGCCUGGGUGCCCCCUUUCCCAGCUAAGCCUGGCUCCUUCAGGAGAGCUGAGUGGGCUUCCUGCAGGCUUCUCUCCAGGACUAAGCAGGCACUAAGCAGAGUGCAGGAAGCCCUCGAUAAAUGCUGCCUGGAGGAAUAAGUGAACAAAGGCCGGUUCCCCAGAGCGGUGCUGUCUGGCCCAGGGGGUUCCCUGAGAAAAAGAGCAGAAAUCCCUCACAGGGUCAUGAUACCAAUGAAAUGUGGCGGCGUGCCUGAUACACGUGCUGAGUUCUCGGAACCACAGGACUCUCAGGGAAAACAUGAAACCUGUUAAAAUGUGCAGAAAAUGAAGCAGCAGCUUGGCCGGGAGGGAAGGAAACCAAACCUCAUAAGCCUGGCUUCCAGGGCAGCCCUUUCCUGGUUCUCUUGGGGCUCCUGGGGUGUGGGAAGAGUCCUGGGUUGCUUUUCCUCCUGCCCCAGGCCCCAGGGGCCGAAAGCUUUCAACUCCUCCUAAGUGCUCAGUGCUGAGGUGGAAGCCGUGGCCCUCAGCCUGCACUCCGGCCCUCCGGCCUGGCCUCUGAUCCCCUGGACAGAGCUGUUUGCCCAGCCCACACCUGGCAGUCUGUCCCUGACUGUCAGGACGAACAGGUUUGGCUGACCAAACUGGCAGCAGCCUUUGUUUUCAGUGAGAUAAAGAGUCAGAGCUUUGGCCACAGCUGAAAUAAACCUUUUGGACUUUA